GCUUGUUUCUCAUUGACUCUUUAUAUUCCUGAAUAAGCUUCUCCUUCUCAUCCUCAUCCUCUACCCAGAACACACUGGGAAUAACAAAGCUGGAAGAGACCCUGCACUGUGGACAGGACUUACUGAUCCUGUUUGUAAACUGAGUGCCACUUCUCCAUGUGCGAAUACAGAGCUGUGCUGUACUGUGACAGAACAGGCUGUCUUUACAUAUUCUCUGCAAUGUUCCCUGCAAGUGCUGAGCUUGAAGUUCCACACAUUGCUGGACCCUGGAAUAAGCUGACCCUGUUCGCAGCACGACACUCACUUUACCUUUCUAGGAGCACAAGGGUUUCUCUACAUCCUCGUUUAUAUAGAGACUCCCCAUAACUUCAUGGAAACUUCUAGAACAAAUAAAAUUUCACUAAACUUGAAGAAUUCAAAAUCAACAUAUACACCAGAUGUGGUGGUGCACACAUGUAAUCCCGACACUUGGGAGGCUGAGGCAGGAUGAGUGUCAUGCGUACAAGACCAGCCCGGGAUACACAGUGAGUUUGAGGCCAGCCUGAACUACACAGCAAGACUCAGUCUCAAAAAACUGGAAAAACAAUCAAUGUGUAAAAAUUAGUGGUGUAACUAUGUGUAAAUAGCAGUAGUUGAAAAAGAUUUUUUUAAAAAAAUCUGUCUUAAUAGCUGUAAAAAUACCUCGGAGCAUGUUUUAACAAGGAGCUGAAUAAGCUCUACAAUUCAGAUAAUAAAAUGCUGGUUAAUGAAACUGAAGAUGAUCCGAGCAAACGGAAAGACAUCAGGAUUCCUGCUUUAGAAGUGGUGUUGUUGAAAAUGUCCUUUCUGCCUUGAGUGACCUAUAGAUUCCAUGCAGUCCUUAUCUAAGCUCUAAUGUUAUUCUUCAUAGAAACAGAAGAAUAACCAUAAAAUUUGUAUGUAUGUACAGACUCCCUGAAUAUCCAAAAGAAAUCCUGAGCAAAAUGAACAAGCCUGGAAGCAUCCCACCCCCUGACCUGUAGCUCCUUCAAAGCUGUGGUGACCGGAGCAGCGCUGCGGGUGUAAACACAGACCGCAUAGCCUGCGGCACAAGGCGGGCCUGGAGCGCUCCGGUGCCCGAGGCAGGACGAUCCCGCGAGCCUGAGGUCAGCGUGGGCUACACCGCGACUUCAGUGCCAGCCUGAGCUACAUAGCAAGACCCUGGGUGCAAAAACCCACACGACAGCAACACUAAGAAACCCACACAAAAGAGAAACAACACCUAUAAAAUACCUAUUUCACAACUACAAAUAAGCCAUAUUUUGCAUUACAAAGACGUGUACAUCAGAAUAGACUCAAAUGUACGACACUGAUUGCAAACUUUUCUCAUGCUGUCAUAAAAUUUUGAUUUCAGGCAGUGUGCUGUACCCCACUGUGUCAGAAAAAUCAGGCAUUAUCAGGCACUUCAGGCAAAAUCAGGCAUUAUCAACGUUACUAUUUUUGGCUCCGGAGAAUGCAUCCCUUCUCUUUCCUACAGACAUUGAACACCUCUCGCAGUUUAGUUUUUGUUUGUUUGUUUGUUUAGCAAGCUCCGGUGAGGCUGUAUUUUUGUCUGACGUCGAUUGCUUCACCCCCGGCACCGAGGUCGCGGCUCCCGCGUCGCGCUGUGACUCCUCCUCGGCACAUGGUCCCCUGUCACUCGAGGCGCUCUUAGGCCCAGGAGGGCAGACGAGGGCCACGCCCUCUGUAGGUGCUGGGGACGUAAUGGCAAAAGCAGAAAUAAAAACUGCUGGCCACAGGAA
Molecule: long non-coding RNA, 1760 nt
Organism: Cavia porcellus (domestic guinea pig)
Lineage: Eukaryota; Metazoa; Chordata; Mammalia; Rodentia; Caviidae
Exons: 4
Source: RefSeq, a predicted model, not a curated record